UGCGCGGCGAUGCCGCGUGUUAGAUGACCUGGUAUUCCACGCCCUCUGCUUUUGUACGGGAAGAAACACUCCUACUGUAGGAGCUUGACGGUACCGUACCAAUAUCCCACCUGCUAACUCCAUGCCAGGGGAUGCGGCUCUACGGAAGAUACGGUGGUUAUCCGGAAUCAUUGGGCUUAAAGGGUCCGUAGGCGGUUUGGUAAGUCAGUGGUGAAAGCCCAUCCCUUAACGAUGGAACGGCCCUUGAUACUGCCCUACUUGGAUUACUAACAAGUAACUAGAAUAUGUUUCGUAGUGGUGAAAUGCUUAGAUAUUACAUGGAAUACCAAUUGCGAAGGCAGGUUACUACCAGUGGAUUGACGCUGAUGUACUACAGCAUGGCGAGCGAACAGGAUUAGAUACCCUGGUAGUCCACGCCGUAAACGAUGGAUACUAGCUGUUCGGGGUAACCUGAGUGGCUAAGCAACAGUGAUAACUAUCCCACCUGGGGAGUACGUUCGCACGAAUGAAACUCAAAGGAAUUGACGGAUUGACGG
This 536-nucleotide ribosomal RNA is filed under the name uncultured bacterium. Its description in RNAcentral is "bacterial SSU rRNA". It matches the Rfam family "Bacterial small subunit ribosomal RNA", at positions 385 to 924 of the family's 1533-position model. The record is from RNAcentral.